This 1517-nucleotide long non-coding RNA is filed under the name Sus scrofa (pig). RNAcentral's name for it is "lncRNA (ENSSSCG00035001269.1, ENSSSCG00050003905.1)". The record is from RNAcentral. Lineage: Eukaryota; Metazoa; Chordata; Mammalia; Artiodactyla; Suidae.
GAAAGGAAAGAGGGCGGCGGGAGGCCUGCUGGAUGGGAUAGUUCUGGGACUGCCAAGACAGAGCCUCGAUUCCUGCCCUUAAGGAGCUCAACAUCUGGUUAAGGACCACAGACAAGGAAAGUAGAAUGAAGAAACUGAGACCCAGAGAGUUUAUGAAAUUGGUGAUUUGCCCAAGGUCAUGUAACAAGUAAUCGUUAUAUACCACUGGAAGAGGCUAUAAGAUCCCUCAGCACAGAACAAGACCGGCUUAGGGAUUAAUAGGACAACCUCUGCUAGUACUAGAACUGCAUCUAGUAAUGCAGUUCUUUUAUUUUGUUUUUAAAAUGUAGUGCCUUUUCUGGUGAUGACAACAAAAAGCAAUGAAGACAAUAACGAUGUUACAGAAGAAAAAAGGGAUUGAAUAUAACCAAAUGUUCAGCUAUAAUCACCAUAUGUGAAAAAACUCUCAAUAUUUGAACAUUUCAUAUUCAUAGCGAACUAAAUUAGAGGGUGAUUAUUCAUAUAAUGGAAUUAUUUGCUUUAUAGAAGGAUUCACUAAAUUAUCCUCUUCUGUGAUGAGCUUUCCCCCAUUCAUUUAAAACAGGAAUUAAUUUAUAACAAUGUGAUGUAUAUAUAGCUCCCCCAGAACACAUCUAUCGCACAGCAUGAAGCCAAAUCAAGUUGUAAAAUGAUUUUGAUUACUGGAUAAUGAUAGUAGGGAAUAUUUGCUCACUUCAGCAUUUGAGGAUUCCAACUACAAAAGGAUUUGCAGAUAUCAAGCCACUAUCCUUAAUCUUGAUGAAAUUACGAAGGACCAGAGAAAUGCCAAAGGAUGGGUAGAAUAGGUGAUUAAACAAGUGAUUUGCAAGCACCCACCCAAAGAAGGAAUCACUUGAAGACUCCUUAACAAGACAGAAAUAAUAAGCUGUGCCAAACUGCCAUCUUUUCUUGUAUAGCUAAUGCUAAUAGAGAACAAGAAGAAGAGAGGGCCAAGGAUUUGGCACCCAUUUGGCAGCCUCUAUUGACCUGUUCCUGAAAAACAGAAGAAACGUCAAUGAACGAGAACACGUGACUAGGUGAGUGGUUACUUCUGGCUUUUUGAUUAAGAUGACUUAACUUGUAUGUUGGUAGAUUUCUGUCCAGGGAAUCAGCAUUCAGCAGGCACAUUCCCACCAUAUCAGUUAGGAACUGCAUUCAGCUGCAGAGAUCCACAUUACAGUGGCUCAGAAAACAAAAGAGAUUUUCUCUCACAUGAAAAAAAAAGUUGGGAGUUUCUGUCAUGGCUCAGUGGAAACGAAUCUGACUAGCAUCCACGAGGACACAGGUUCAAUCCCUGGCCUCACUCAGUGGGUUAAGGGUCCGGUAUUGCCAUGAGCUGUGGUGUAGGUUGCAGAUGUGGCUCCCAUCCCACAUUGCUGUGGCUGUGGUGUAGGCCAGCGGCUAUAGCUCCGAUUAGACUUCUAACCUGGGAACCUCCAUAUGCCUCGGGUGCAGCCCUAGAAAGACCAAAAAAAAAAAAAAAAAAAAAAAAAAAAAGU